UGGUACAGAGGGCAGCCAAGUCGUGAGGCGGAGCUAAUCCCUUAAAGCCAUUCUCAGUUCGGAUUGUAGGCUGAAACUCGCCUACAUGAAGCUGGAGUUACUAGUAAUCGCAGAUCAGAAUGCUGCGGUGAAUGCGUUCCCGGGUCUUGUACACACCGCCCGUCACACCACGGAAGUUGGGGGCGCCCGAAGCCACUUAGCUAACCCUUUUGGGAAGCGAGUGUCGAAGGUGAAAUCAAUAACUGGGGUGAAGUCGUAACAAGGUAAC
Molecule: ribosomal RNA, 268 nt
Filed under: uncultured bacterium
Lineage: Bacteria
Description: partial 16S ribosomal RNA
Rfam family: Bacterial small subunit ribosomal RNA
Source: RNAcentral